UUUGUAUCCCCUCUGUCCUGAAAUACUUGUUCGAGAAAUGGAUAAAAAUGGAUGUAUCUAAAACUAAAAUACAUCUAAGAUACAUCCAUUUCUUCGACAUGUAUUUCUGGACGGAGGGAGCACUUC
Molecule: non-coding RNA, 126 nt
Organism: Hordeum vulgare subsp. vulgare (domesticated barley)
Lineage: Eukaryota; Viridiplantae; Streptophyta; Magnoliopsida; Poales; Poaceae
Source: Rfam